Molecule: long non-coding RNA, 1427 nt
Organism: Oreochromis niloticus (Nile tilapia)
Lineage: Eukaryota; Metazoa; Chordata; Actinopteri; Cichliformes; Cichlidae
Exons: 3
Source: RefSeq, a predicted model, not a curated record
AGUUCAUGCCAUGUUUCAUUUCCAUGUCUAUGUCUGCGUGUUUCCUGUUUUAUUUUGGAAGAGUCUGGUGUUCUUUGUUCAUUGUAGUUAGUGUUACUCUCCCCUGUAUUGUCAUUAUGUUCCAUUCUAGUCAGCUGUGUUCUCAUGUGUCUCCACUUCCCCUGAUCGCCUCGUGUGUAUUUAGUCCUCAGUCUUGCUGUGUUCAGUGUCGCGUCGUCUGUGUUCUCACCUCCAUGUUUUCACGAGACUGCAUGAAGAUUCCAAGCUUACUUUUGGUUAAAUGGGUUACUUUACUGCAUUGUGGUAAUAGCUCAUAUAAGAUCUGCUUAUAUCUUGUUGGAUUCAGUUGCCAAAAUCCACAAAAAGCAGCAGCACAAGUCUGCUGAUCACAGCCUGCACAGAAAAUCUACUGGAGCUCACAACAGGAAUUACUGUGACAUAUUACUAAGUGACUCUUUUCCACACACUCCACCACUAUAACAGGUGCAGAGGCAAUGUUGCUCGUCGACGGUGCAACCUCAAAAGCUAUUCUUUAUUCCUUUUGUUUUCUCUGCUUGUAUUCUACAUAACAGCUGUUCAGGCUUAAUACAUUCAUUAGAAUUAGAAUUUGAUAUAAAGUUUUAUUCCCUUUUAUUUAUAUUUCUUAUCAUCAUACUAAUGUAACAUUAUAUAAGAGUCCAUUAUCUUUGAUUAAAAAUAGAUGGUACAAAUGUCCUAAAGCUAACCUUUACUUUCAUAAUUCAAGUUGAAUCAGCACUUUGAAUCACAGUAUUGCUUCAAUACAAAUGUCAAUGCUUCCACUUAAGGGAUGAACAUCUGCACCUUUGACCUCUCUGCUUUUGGUAGCAUUAUGUAUUGUGAUCUUUGUUAAGCACAUCUUUUCUUUAAAAAGAUGUGGCAUGUCUGGAAAAAGAAGACAAAGAAAGAAUAAAAACACAUUUCCACAAUUCAUUGCUUAUUGGCCCAACACUGCACCAUCAUUGCCUCUCUCUUCAUGUUUAAACAGUGAUUUUCCUGCUUUUCCACCAUAUUAUUUUAUUUUUCAAUAAAUUGUGUAAAACAAGCGGUAUGACCUUAAAGUCCUACCCAGAGUGAAUGCAUUGUGUGUUAAUUGCAUCAUAAAUAUUUCAAUUGAAAUGUUGAUCAAUAAAUGUCAGUGACCCAGCGCUCCAACAUCUUCAGUUUUCCACCACACACUUCACAGUAUUAGCAUUCUGAUUCCAAUACACCACACUAUAUUCAUCGAUUCCCUGUGAAGGACGAGUAGAGGUCAUGUUUUCGAUAAUUACAAGCAGUGGAUCACUAAGCUGUAAAUAACAUCAGCAUCAUUAGAGUGUGUUCGAGCAAUUAGGAAGCAUCUGUCUUUACUCGCAGGUUGAGAAUACAAAAAUAUGCCGGCAGACUCUCAUCUGAAAUCAUAGAGUACA